CGGGGGGCAGCAGUGGGGAAUAUUGCGCAAUGGGCGAAAGCCUGACGCAGCGACGCCGCGUGAGGGAUGAAGGCCUUCGGGUUGUAAACCUCUUUCAGCAGGGACGAAGCGAAAGUGACUGUACCUGCAGAAGAAGCACCGGCUAACUACGUGCCAGCAGCCGCGGUAAUACGUAGGGUGCAAGCGUUGUCCGGAAUUAUUGGGCGUAAAGAGCUCGUAGGCGGUUUGUCGCGUCGGAUGUGAAAACUUGGGGCUCAACCCCAAGCCUGCAUUCGAUACGGGCAAACUAGAGUUCGGUAGGGGAGACUGGAAUUCCUGGUGUAGCGGUGAAAUGCGCAGAUAUCAGGAGGAACACCGAUGGCGAAGGCAGGUCUCUGGGCCGAUACUGACGCUGAGGAGCGAAAGCGUGGGGAGCGAACAGGAUUAGAUACCCGCGU
This 437-nucleotide ribosomal RNA is filed under the name uncultured Actinomycetes bacterium. RNAcentral's name for it is "bacterial SSU rRNA". It matches the Rfam family "Bacterial small subunit ribosomal RNA", at positions 342 to 791 of the family's 1533-position model. The record is from RNAcentral. Lineage: Bacteria; Bacillati; Actinomycetota; Actinomycetes.